UACGUAGGGGGCAAGCGUUGUCCGGAUUUAUUGGGCGUAAAGAGCGUGUAGGCGGCCAGACAGGUCCGUUGUGAAAACUCGAGGCUCAACCUCGAGACGUCGGUUGAAACCGUAUGGCUAGAGUCCGGAAGAGGAGAGUGGAAUUCCCGGUGUAGCGGUGAAAUGCGCAGAUAUCGGGAAGAACACCCGUGGCGAAGGCGGCUCUCUGGGACGGUACUGACGCUGAGACGCGAAAGCGUGGGGAGCGAACAGG
RNAcentral lists this ribosomal RNA (253 nucleotides) under uncultured bacterium. RNAcentral describes it as "partial 16S ribosomal RNA". It matches the Rfam family "Bacterial small subunit ribosomal RNA", at positions 524 to 776 of the family's 1533-position model. The record is from RNAcentral.